RNAcentral lists this ribosomal RNA (498 nucleotides) under uncultured bacterium. RNAcentral's name for it is "partial 16S ribosomal RNA". It matches the Rfam family "Bacterial small subunit ribosomal RNA", at positions 30 to 523 of the family's 1533-position model. The record is from RNAcentral.
AUUGAACGCUGGCGGCAUGCUUUACACAUGCAAGUCGAACGGUAACAGGCCGCAAGGCGCUGACGAGUGGCGAACGGGUGAGUAAUGCAUCGGAACGUGCCCAGUCGUGGGGGAUAACGCAGCGAAAGCUGUGCUAAUACCGCAUACGAUCUAUGGAUGAAAGCGGGGGACCGUAAGGCCUCGCGCGAUUGGAGCGGCCGAUGUCAGAUUAGGUAGUUGGUGGGGUAAAGGCUCACCAAGUCAACGAUCUGUAGCUGGUCUGAGAGGACGACCAGCCACACUGGGACUGAGACACGGCCCAGACUCCUACGGGCGGCAGCAGUGGGGAAUUUUGGACAAUGGGCGCGAGCCUGAUCCAGCAAUGCCGCGUGCAGGAAGAAGGCCUUCGGGUUGUAAACUGCUUUUGUACGGAACGAAAAGGUUUGGGUUAAUACCCUGGGCCGAUGACGGUACCGUAAGAGUAAGCACCGGCUAACUACGUGCCAGCCGCCGCAGUAA